RNAcentral lists this ribosomal RNA (454 nucleotides) under uncultured Alistipes sp. RNAcentral's name for it is "bacterial SSU rRNA". It matches the Rfam family "Bacterial small subunit ribosomal RNA", at positions 341 to 792 of the family's 1533-position model. The record is from RNAcentral. Lineage: Bacteria; Pseudomonadati; Bacteroidota; Bacteroidia; Bacteroidales; Rikenellaceae.
ACGGAAGGCAGCAGUGAGGAAUAUUGGUCAAUGGACGGAAGUCUGAACCAGCCAAGUCGCGUGCGGGAUGAAUGCCCUACGGGUCGUAAACCGCUUUUGUACGGGGAUAAAGUCACCCACGUGUGGGUGUUUGUAGGUACCGUAAGAAUAAGGAUCGGCUAACUCCGUGCCAGCAGCCGCGGUAAUACGGAGGAUCCGAGCGUUAUCCGGAUUUAUUGGGUUUAAAGGGUGCGCAGGCGGGCUGCUAAGUCACCGGUGAAGUGUCAGGGCUCAACCUGGGCACUGCCGGAGAUACUGGCGGCCUUGAGAGUGGAGGAGGUAGCCGGAAUGUGUGGUGUAGCAGUGAAAUGCAUAGAUAUCACACAGAACACCGAUUGCGAAGGCAGGAGACGAUACCAUAUCUGACGCUGAGGCACGAAAGCGUGGGGAUCGAACAGGAUUAGAUACCCUGGUA